RNAcentral lists this ribosomal RNA (429 nucleotides) under Acidobacteriota bacterium. RNAcentral's name for it is "Acidobacteria bacterium partial 16S ribosomal RNA". It matches the Rfam family "Bacterial small subunit ribosomal RNA", at positions 355 to 776 of the family's 1533-position model. Lineage: Bacteria; Pseudomonadati; Acidobacteriota. The record is from RNAcentral.
UGGGGAAUUUUGGACAAUGGGGGAAACCCUGAUCCAGCCAUCCCGCGUGUGCGAUGAAGGCCUUCGGGUUGUAAAGCACUUUUGGCAGGAAAGAAACGUCAUGGGUUAAUACCCCGUGAAACUGACGGUACCUGCAGAAUAAGCACCGGCUAACUACGUGCCAGCAGCCGCGGUAAUACGUAGGGUGCAAGCGUUAAUCGGAAUUACUGGGCGUAAAGCGUGCGCAGGCGGUUCGGAAAGAAAGAUGUGAAAUCCCAGAGCUCAACUUUGGAACUGCAUUUUUAACUACCGGGCUAGAGUGUGUCAGAGUGAGGUGGAAUUCCGCGUGUAGCAGUGAAAUGCGUGAAUAUGCGGAGGAACACCGAUGGCGAAGGCAGCCUCCUGGGAUAACACUGACGCUCAUGCACGAAAGCGUGGGGAGCAAACAGG